AUCCAAGCCAGCUUUAACAGAUAACGAUUGUGAUUUUCCUUUUCGGACUUGUCGAUUGCAUACUAUUAAAUGCUGUCGCAUUCGAAAUUCUGCAGCAACACUGCAUCAAGCAACAAUAAUUAAUCAAAUACUAUUAUUGAAUGUUGCUUAACUAUAAAGUGGUGAAUCUCUUUGAACCAUUUGAUCAUUGCCAUUAUAACAUGUACUGCUUGCAAUAUCAGAAGCAUG
Molecule: unclassified non-coding RNA, 228 nt
Filed under: Hevea brasiliensis (rubber tree)
Lineage: Eukaryota; Viridiplantae; Streptophyta; Magnoliopsida; Malpighiales; Euphorbiaceae
Source: RNAcentral